CACCCACCAGCCCCUGAAGAAACCUUUCAACGGAAGGAGAUGGGAGAACAGCAAAGAGAUCAGAAAAGUGUAGUCUUCAAUAGAUGGUACACUUCAGUUGUUUCCAGAUUUUCUAACUUACAGCAAAGCUUCUAUAACGUCCCCGUAUUGGAAGCUCCUUGAAAGCAGAGCCCAUGUAUUACAACUUUGUAUCCUAUCUCAAUUCUUAGCACAUGAAAGAUGGCUGCAAAUUGGAAUUCCUAUUUUCUGAAAUUGCCUCCUGACUUUGCCCUAGAACUAUCCUAUUUUGUAAUGGGCCUGCAAUCUGCCUCUGAAUGGAAGUCAUGGAAAGGAUCAAAAAUGACUGACCAGCGUUGGUGGAGUUUGGGUUUUUUUUAAAUAAUAGUAGGUAUUAAUGUAGCACACUGUAUUUGUAGUGCUUUGAAAUAAAUAUCACAAUAUUAUAUGUAAAUAUACAUAUAACCAAACACAU
This is a long non-coding RNA of Equus caballus (horse), 472 nucleotides long. RefSeq lists it as uncharacterized. NCBI's taxonomy places the organism in Eukaryota, Metazoa, Chordata, Mammalia, Perissodactyla, Equidae. The record is from RefSeq and is a predicted model, not a curated record.